This 468-nucleotide ribosomal RNA is filed under the name uncultured bacterium. RNAcentral describes it as "partial 16S ribosomal RNA". It matches the Rfam family "Bacterial small subunit ribosomal RNA", at positions 28 to 507 of the family's 1533-position model. The record is from RNAcentral.
GACGAACGCUGGCGGCGUGCUUAACACAUGCAAGUCGAACGGAAAGGCCCUGCUUUUGUGGGGUGCUCGAGUGGCGAACGGGUGAGUAACACGUGAGUAACCUGCCCUUGACUUUGGGAUAACUUCAGGAAACUGGGGCUAAUACCGGAUAGGAGCUCCUGCUGCAUGGUGGGGGUUGGAAAGUUUCGGCGGUUAGGGAUGGACUCGCGGCUUAUCAGCUUGUUGGUGGGGUAGUGGCUUACCAAGGCUUUGACGGGUAGCCGGCCUGAGAGGGUGACCGGCCACAUUGGGACUGAGAUACGGCCCAGACUCCUACGGGAGGCAGCAGUGGGGAAUAUUGCACAAUGGGCGGAAGCCUGAUGCAGCAACGCCGCGUGCGGGAUGACGGCCUUCGGGUUGUAAACCGCUUUCGCCUGUGGCGAAGCGUGAGUGACGGUAAUGGGUAAAGAAGCACCGGCUAACUACGUG